AACGAACGCUGGCGGCAUGCCUAACACAUGCAAGUCGAACGAGACCUUCGGGUCUAGUGGCGCACGGGUGCGUAACGCGUGGGAACCUGCCCUUAGGUUCGGAAUAACUCCCCGAAAGGGGUGCUAAUACCGGAUAAUGUCUUCGGACCAAAGAUUUAUCGCCUUUGGAUGGGCCCGCGUUGGAUUAGCUAGUUGGUAGGGUAAAAGCCUACCAAGGCGACGAUCCAUAGCUGGUCUGAGAGGAUGGUCAGCCACACUGGGACUGGGACACGGCCCAGACUCCUCCGGAGGGCAGAAGUGGGGAAUAUGGAACAAUGGGCGAAGGCUGAUCCAGCAAUGCCGCGUGAGUGAUGAAGGCCUUAGGGUUGUAAAGCUCUUUUACCCGGGAUGAUAAUGACAGUACCGGGAGAAUAAGCUCCGGCUAACUCCGUG
RNAcentral lists this ribosomal RNA (432 nucleotides) under uncultured bacterium. Its description in RNAcentral is "partial 16S ribosomal RNA". It matches the Rfam family "Bacterial small subunit ribosomal RNA", at positions 29 to 507 of the family's 1533-position model. The record is from RNAcentral.